This 1421-nucleotide long non-coding RNA is filed under the name Homo sapiens (human). RNAcentral's name for it is "non-protein coding lnc-SALL3-1:2". Lineage: Eukaryota; Metazoa; Chordata; Mammalia; Primates; Hominidae. The record is from RNAcentral.
CAAAAGGUGAAGGUCAUGAACAACAAAGAAAAACUGAGGAACUGUCACGCCAUGGAGACGGUGGUGUGAGGAGUGGAUGCAAUGGGAGGCACUGGGUUGGAUCCUGAAACAGAAAAAGGACCUUGUUGGGAAAACUGGUGAAAUCAGAGUAAAGCUUGCCACUUAGUCAACAGCAUUAUGCAAAUACUAAUUUCUUAAUUCUACAGUCCUCCCAUGGCCAUGCAGGAUGCUGACACCAGACAGUCAUGCUGAUUUUCCUAGUCUGUCCAACGUAACCGCAGGAAUCACCAUCACAGGACUUUAUCUUGGAAGAGAAACAGGUUAACACCUGAUUUGGGGUGGGGGGAAAGAGAGAGAGAGAGCCUGCAGAGAAGAGCCCCCAGUAGUCUCUGAUCAAAUUCCCACCAAAACUUCAGCUGAAGCUUCGGGCUUCUGGUCUUUCCUCAAACAGCAGACUUUCUCCUGAUGCCACCAUCAAAAAAACCCUGCCCAUCUCGACGGCAGGGUGCUAGCUGUAUAGAUCAGUGAAUAAGUCAGUAAGAUUAAAAGGUGAUGGAAAUGCGAAGGUCAGGGAGACUUGGGGGCACGGCUGUACCACGGGGGCUUCCUCAUGUCCCCACGUUUUCCAUGUGGAACGUCACUCCCAUCCCACUCACUUCAUAUCCAGCAAGUAUUGAACAAGAAGUCCUGUCAUUUAAAAAGAAAGGGAGAAAAGUUGGUCACAGCCAGAGAAGCGUGUCGUCACUCAAAUGCAGGAGCAUCUGGCGGGCUGAGGAUAUCUUUUAUACCAUUAAGAAGGACCAAGACAUAGUCCUUUCUAAAACUGGGCUAGAGGCAAAAGAAAAAAAAAUGCCUGGAGUUGAGGCAGAAACUCAUAAGCCCAUAAAGGGAGGCGGACACGAAGGCGGGACGGAAGCACGUCAUCGGCGGACAGAAGGCGUGACGGAAGUACGUCAUCACCGAGGCUCUCACUGUGCUCACGGCCUCAUGAGCCCAUAAAGGGAAGCGGACACGAAGGCGGGACGGAAGCGCGUCAUCGGCGGACAGAAGGCGUGACGGAAGCGCGUCAUCACCGAGGCUCUCACAGCGCUCACGGCCUCAUGAGCCCAUAAAGGGAAGCGGACACGAAGGCGGGACGGAAGCGCAUCAUCGGCGGACAGAAGGCGUGACGGAAGCACGUCAUCACCGAGGCUCUCACAGCGCUCACGGCCUCAUGAGCCCAUAAAGGGAGGCGGACACUAAGGCGGGACGGAAGCGCGUCAUCACCGAGGCUCUCACAGCUCCCAGGACCUUAUGAGCCCAUAAAGGGAAGCGGACACGAAGGCGGGACGAAAGCGCGUCAUCGCCGAGGCUCUCACAGCUCCCAGGACGUCCGCAAGCAUGUUUCCAACAAGCCCUGCCCACGUGUGGUUUCCCGUGUG